AGUUCUCUCCUUUUGUGAGAGCUUUUCUCUCCACCCCACCCCGUGAGAGCCUUUUCAACAUGUGUUAUGAGCCUUCUUCAAACUUCCCUCUCCUCCGUCACCGGCCCUUGCCAUGGCCUGGGUCAGUGGUUCUCGGGUUUAGUUUUCCCUGCAAGCUGUCUACUAAUCGUCACCAAUAUGUGCUUUAAUUUUCUAAUUCCUAUGCCAUCAAUUCCAAUUUCUUUUCACCAUCGUUUCCAUCCUUCACCUCCUUGGCCCUCCGCAAACCCAUUUGAUUUUGGAUUUAUAGCUACUUUGUGAUAAUUUUCUCAGGAUGUGUUGUUGUGAUUUUCUCGGGAUGUGCGUAAAGCUCCGGUGCAGGCUUCAGCUCAGGUGUUUACACCACCACCUCCUAUGGAUUUGUCUUCGAUGGCUUUGUUGCCUUCGGAGACGUUGUUGCUGAUGAGUUCUUUCAUCAGCUUCCUGUGUUUUGUUACAGAUCUAUCAUCUAUGGUGCUUUGGGAUGGUUGUUGGAGUCGUAUAUUCAUCAUUUUUGUGGAAUUACUUGGCUAGAUUUGGGCGUCUAUUGGGCGGAGGUUUUGCAGCGACGCAUCAACAACGGUUGUAAGGAAGUUAUGGUUUUUUGUUUCUAGGCUUAAACUUGUGGCUUGGGCUUUGUUUUGGGGUCCAUAUUUUCUUUUGGUCUUUUUUGUAUUGGGACCUCAACAGCUGUAAAUGUUGUAAAUUUGUGUGGUUGGUAAUGUAUCUUACUUGGUGCCCUCUUUGUAGGGUAACCUGUUGUGGAGCCAAAAAUAUUCACUAGACGACACGUGGACUUUUGGACGAAAGAGGACAAAAAUACCCUUGAGGCAUACCAGGAUUCCUACACACGAGCAGCGGGCAAUCAUCUUUCAAUCAAGUCAAAAGUGCCCA
RNAcentral lists this long non-coding RNA (912 nucleotides) under Malus domestica (apple). Its description in RNAcentral is "long non-coding RNA (MDOM_LNC014365)". The record is from RNAcentral. Lineage: Eukaryota; Viridiplantae; Streptophyta; Magnoliopsida; Rosales; Rosaceae.